RNAcentral lists this ribosomal RNA (901 nucleotides) under Bacillus thuringiensis. Its description in RNAcentral is "partial 16S ribosomal RNA". It matches the Rfam family "Bacterial small subunit ribosomal RNA", at positions 88 to 972 of the family's 1533-position model. The record is from RNAcentral. Lineage: Bacteria; Bacillati; Bacillota; Bacilli; Caryophanales; Bacillaceae.
GACGUUAGCGGCGGACGGGUGAGUAACACGUGGGCAACCUGCCCAUNAGACUGGGAUAACUUCGGGANACCNAAGCUAAUACCGGAUAGGAUCUUCUCCUUCAUGGGAGAUGGAUUGANAGAUGGNNUCGGCUAUCACUUACAGAUGGGCCCGCGGUGCAUUAGCUAGUUGGUGAGGUAACGGCUCACCAAGGCCACGAUGCAUAGCCGACCUGAGAGGGUGAUCGGCCACACUGGGACUGAGACACGGCCCAGACUCCUACGGGAGGCAGCAGUAGGGAAUCUUCCGNNNUNGACGAAAGUCUGACGGAGCAACGCCGCGUGAGUGAUGAAGGCUUUCGGGUCGUAAAACUCUGUUGUUAGGGAAGAACAAGUACAAGAGUAACUGCUUGUACCUUGACGGUACCUAACCAGAAAGCCACGGCUAACUACGUGCCAGCAGCCGCGGUAAUACGUAGGUGGCAAGCGUUAUCCGGAAUUAUUGGNCGUAAAGCGCGCGCAGGCGGUUUCUUAAGUCUGAUGUGAAAGCCCACGGCUCAACCGUGGAGGGUCAUUGGAAACUGGGGAACUUGAGUGCAGAAGAGAAAAGCGGAAUUCCACGUGUAGCGGUGAAAUGCGUAGAGAUGUGGAGGAACACCAGUGGCGAAGGCGGCUUUUUGGUCUGUAACUGACGCUGAGGCGCGAAAGCGUNNGGAGCAAACAGGAUUAGAUACCCUGGUAGUCCACGCCGUAAACGAUGAGUGCUAAGUGUUAGAGGGUUUCCGCCCCUUAGUGNNGCAGCNAACGCAUUAAGCACUCCGCCUGGGGAGUACGGUCGCAAGACUGAAACUCAAAGGAAUUGACGGGGGCCCGCACAAGCGGUGGAGCAUGUGGUUUAAUNNGAAGCANNCGCGAAGAACCUU